Molecule: non-coding RNA, 7374 nt
Organism: Rattus norvegicus (Norway rat)
Lineage: Eukaryota; Metazoa; Chordata; Mammalia; Rodentia; Muridae
Source: RefSeq, a predicted model, not a curated record
UCAAUUGUGUGUCUUUAAUGAGCCCAGAAAUUUUCAUAAUUAUCCUUUUUUUUCCAAAGACAUAAUUAUAGGUUGGAGUACAUGCUACAGACAAGACAUUUAAAUAGAGCUUUUUACACACUUAAGCAUUCUGCCUCUCCCUUCAAAAAAACAUUUUGAAGAGGGUUCCCAAUUAUCCUUCCCCUGCCUUUCUUCCUCUGAGUAAACACGGGGAGGUAAGAUGGUCAUUGUCCCUUGGCAGUGAGUGUCCUAUGCUGGCUAGAGUACCCAGCCCAAAACUGUCUCCCCUGUGCCUCUACUGAGCACAGAGACUGGCAGGUGGAGGUGGCAGGGGUGACUUAGAGUUCUGUCCUGUAUGGGAAGCCCAGGUUAACCAGAAGCAGUCUUGGUGUCUCUGAUGGGGACAAGGCAAUGAAUGUGUUGAGCUCUGAUUGGUGCUGCCAUCAGAAUCUGUACCCAGUGAUAACCCAGGACCUCAUUAGUUCCAUGGUUUGAGUUUGAACUGGCAGGUUUAAGGGUCUGAGACAGGGGGUUGGGGAUUUAGCUCAGUGGUAGAGCGCUUGCCUAGGAAGCGCAAGGCCCUGGGUUCGGUCCCCAACUCCGAAAAAAAAGAACCAAAAAAAAAAAAAAAAAGGGUCUGAGACAGGACAGAGAGACUGAAGACAUGGGUCUGACUGAGACAAGGGGUUUGGGCUGUAAAGCACAUAAACUGCUCUGACACAUCCUGCUUCUCCAAGCUCUCUCUUGCUGACUGACUAAAACUGUCCCCCACCCCAUUUCUAGAGCUGCUGGGAAUGUGUUUACUUCUAAGCCCAAUAACCAGUGUUCUGGGGAGAAGUUUGAGGAAAGAGCAAAGUCACAUGGGCCAGCUUCAGAGGAGAGGCUCCAGGGACCUCUGUCCUCCAGCUGGAGUCCAACAGGAAACACAGAUGCCUCCGGCACAAGUAGUUGGAAGAAGGUGCCGGCCCAGCUGCCCAAGGUGUGGGGCCAGCCAGAGAGAGGUCCUGUGGGUGGAGAGUGUCCACUCAUGUCCAGCAGAGGCUCCGGGGAAAGGGCAAGGCAGUUCAGGCAAGAAUUUGACAUACCAGCUGCAGGGAGACUGUCCCCAUUACAGACCAGCACCCUGCAAAAACCUUCUGGAAAGCUCAGGAAAGGAAAGGGAUCCUCUGGCUUGCGAGUUUUACCAAAGACCAUUUCACAGUAGCAUACUGAUUGACAACACAUUUUUUGUUGGCUAAAAGCCUUACCCUCGUGUACAUCUUGAGUUCCUGGGAGAGAGAGGGUCUGACAAUAAGCAAAGAAAAGAUAUGAGACGAUACCAGAUUAAGUAGGAGAGAGCGUGAUUCUGUGGGGGAAGGCUUCCGUGUGGAGGAAUUUUUGAGCUGACCCACCCAUGACAUCAGCAUCUCCCCCAACAAGACCCUAAGGGAGAGGGACAGGCUGGUUUACCCACCCAAGGCUAGAGCAAAGAAGGGCUCUGCAGAGCAGGAAGAUGCCAACCAUGACGAUGGCGGUGAAAACAGGCAGGUCUGCGGCUGUCAGCUCAUAGCCCCGGACCCCAUCUUGUGAGAACUUGGAAAUUCACAACAGCGAGGGCCCAGGAGACGCCUGGCGAGCUCGGUUCUGAAUCAUUCUAUUGUCUGAGCGGAAGUCCAGCCCGGCAAAGUAAUGGAAGGACACUCCUCGUCUCAAUUUUGUUCAUAGAUGUCUCCAGCAACCAUUUCACAUCUCUAACCACACAGGCGUCCGAGCUGGUGGGCGGGCCUUAUCCUCACCGAACGUAUGAGAAAGGCCACUCCGGUAGUUUCUGUCUCUGCAGCCUCCCCCGCCCUGCCUGUGUGGGUGGACACAUCUGUGGACGCAGCACUUCAAUAAAAAGCCUUCGCACGGCACACGAGGCCGCCCAGGAGACGCGGCGCGUUUCAUCCAACUGCCAAGAAUCUUCUUUAAAGUCUCCCCUGCCUUGUUGAGGGGCCAGCCACUCGCUCGGGCCGCUGUUGUUAUGGCUGUCUCGCUUCCUGAGACACACUGUCCGGGAACAGACACCCCUGGCAAGCUGCAAAGGUGAGAUGGUGGCCCGAGGUUCACCGGCCCUACUCUCCAAACAGCUUUCAAGUGACUCUCUGUGACCGCUCCGUGUGGAGGUGUUUUUCUAGAACGUUCUGUCCAAAUGACCCUGGAAACUAUCAGGACAAUGGGACCAAGAGGCUUUGGGAAGCUAGGGAGGCCCCAUCACUCCACAUGCCCGGAAUUCCCUCCCCCUGCCAUGAGACACAGGGACAGCAGCGGUUUCCUUCAGGACGUCCCUCGGUAGCUCUUUCUUCCUUUGCUCUCAGGAAGACAACUGUGCUUAGCUUCAGGAUCCAGGCCCUUUACUUGAAAGCAGCUACUGUGAAGACAGUGUUAAUGGGGCUUUUAGAUUAUGUCCUGGCUCAAAGCCUCCCUUUAAUAACCGGCUCCGCUCUUGGCCAGUCUUGGCUGAAUUGAGAAACAUCAGCUGUGCGACGAGAAAUGGAAAGCUCGUUACUUGAUACUCGGUGCAGCCUGCGCCAAAACCUUCACUCAUUCAUUUUAUCGCCGCAGCGUCUUCCCAUACCGAAACCUGUGUCACAGCAGAAGCUGCAAACUUCGAGGGCUGGGGGCCCCGGAGUUUUCCACCACCCCCUCGUUUUGACGGAAACUUGCUGGUGCGAACACACAACUCUUGAGAUGCCUCUCCAUCCCAGACGAGCCCAGACAGGCAUCCAAGCAGCAAAUGAGACACAAUCCCAGACAGAGCUGGCAGCCUUCAGAGAACAUCUCUCCUUUCUUAUCAGCAGAGAAAUGAAGAGUCUUCAUGGUGGAGGACAUGGAGCUCACUUGCAUGGACAUUCAGUGUCCAGCCAGGCUGUGAAUAAGAAAGGGUUCCUCCCUAUCUGGGAAACUCGCAGGGAUGUUUCCAGAAUCUAAGAUGAUGGAAAAGCCUUUGCAAGAAACCCACAUUCCUAUAACAGAGGCAUCGAAGGCACGGGUAGAGGGUCCUCUGGCUAUGAGUCCUGAGAGACAGCAAGCCUCACCCUCUCCCGAGCUAGUUUCUGGGAAGAUACUGAAAAUCCGACCUUGCCUUGCCGCCGCCGACCACCCAGCCCGUCAGCACAUACUUGGCACGUAUGUGUUCUUCCCGAGCUUCUUCCAAACCAGAGUUGCUGCCCUCACAACCUGCCAAGCCCUUGCUUCCAGAAAUUUCUUCCUUACCCCUUUUGUGGCUAUGAAACUGAAAUGUUCCAAGUGGGGAAGGAUCUCAAAACUGCUCAGUCAUCAAGCAUACCAGCUGGCCAAAGGCGAGGCUGGGUGUGGAAGUACUUCCCAGAUCCUCAGACCUGGGGAGAAGGGGACAGUGAACGCCAAUUCCAGUCCUGACCACACGCAAAAAGCCUUUACAAAGCUUAAAUCUUCAGUUACUAGAUUUUGUCUUGUUCACAGACCUUUUGGCCCCGCCCUCUUUGCACUCCAGUCCUUGGCCAGAGCUGAACCCCCACACAGAGCUUUCUCCAUUCUUACUCAGUCAAUAGUCAUGUGUGUUAUCAAGAGGCCUGUCUAGGCCCAUGGAGACCUGACAUCGGUGCUGGGACUUCAAACUGUGUUGGCAAUAUAGGGAUUCCUUGGGCCAACCUUCGAGGACUUUCUCAAAACGAUAUCAGCUCUUGGGAGCAGUCAUAACCAUCCAGUGACCAGACUCUCUAGGCCUUCUUCCAGUCAGCCAUUGAAGCUUACACUCAACUCCCGACCUGAAACUGCAUUGAUCGCCUGGGAAGGAGUGUGAGGUGAGAAUUGGAGGGACAAAGUCACCUUUGUGGGUGUGUAGGGGAUGGAGUCAGGGUGUUGGGAUGACUCAUUUGUAUGAGGAAGAAUUCUAGGUGUUGCUAGAUGUGACCUUACCAGGGAUAGGAAAUUUAACCAGGUUACUGGCUUCCUGAUUUCCCCUGCUGGGGCAAAGGUGGAUGUGUAGGAUUAUGUGCACCAGGAUAUGCAGGCCCCAGGCAGGGGAGGGAGUGGCCCCACUCUUAUCUCUCCCAAGAUGAGAUUUCUGGAGUUGGACAUGACUCUACCGCACUCACACGGCGACUGACUCCUUCCAGUUCCACAGUUCCCUGGGCCCACAAGCCGUAAAGCGUGUAACUAGUUAUCACAACUAACCAUAUUAGCAACGUUGACAUGUUGCACCUCACUGUGAGAUUGUGGGUAGAAUUACAUGUUUCAUAUGAAAGACUGUGUCAGGGCAAACUUUGUUUAAACACCCUCCAUGCCCUCCAUCGUCCCAUGCUUCAGACUGAGUAACUUGUUUAUCUUAGAAAGAGACAGUCACCAGACCAUUUCGAGGACCACAAAAUAUUUUUUAAUUGUGGUAAAUUUUAAUUGGGACCUACAUUUUUGUCUCUCCAUAGUUGAUAGGUGAAAACUGAAGGUUACUGGAGUAUUUGUUCAUACACAGAUAUGUACACAAACAUAGUCAUCAUACAUGUACAUACUAUAGAAACACACAUGUGAUUCCUCUGUCAUAUCCUGGACCAAGGUGAAAAGAACCAAGAAAUGGCCUUGACAAUGAGUAAGGCCAGAAAUGAUGGAUGAAGAGAAUCAGACCUCUGUAGCUGAGAGCUGAAAUGAUGGAUGAAAAGAAUCAGACCUCUGUAGCUGAGAGCUGAAAUGAUGGAUGAAAAGAAUCAGACCUCUGUAGCUGAGAGCUGAAAUGAUGGAUGAACAGAAUCAGACCUCUGUAGCUGAGAGCUGAUUAUCAUGUGCCUGAAGCAGCUCUCUAAGGCCAGAAAGAACCUGCUGCCAGUGAGGAAUGCACAUCUGUGAUGGAUCACCCAGAGCUAACAGGAGCUCAUCCUGCCACGAUCCAGAGUCAAGAAGCCUUUUGUAGGCUAUCGGGCAACAUACUCAAGGUGGGCAUCAGCCUUCCACUAGAGGCUGUUCUGGCCUCAAGUAACCAGUCUUUUUUUUUUUUUUUCCUUUUCUUUUUUUCAGAGCUGGGGACCGAACCCAGGGCCUUGCACUUGCUAGGCAAGCGCUCUACCACUGAGCCAAAUCUCCAACCCCUCAAGUAACCAGUCUUAAAAAGAAGUCACUAAAGGAUUGAAAUGGCCCUAAGUAAGAUAUGUGGGUUCCAGAAUAAAGCUCAAGGGUUGAGGGGUACAGGCCCCACCCUACCCCACCAUCUGGCAUCCUAUAACUGUCUGCACACCAUCAAGGCCGAAAAGUCAGUCAACACCAACAGACCUAGACAGGAGGCAGAACUAGCAGACAAAGAAACAAAGGCUCAUCUGACACUUUUACCUCAGUUCUGGGAGAUGCAGGGAGGUGCAGGCUGUUAAGAGGAGACGUGCAAGAUGUCCACAUGACCUACACUGAACUUCUACAUAUAAAAAUACAAAGUCUUGGACUGGAGAGAUGGUUCAGUGGUUAAGAGCGCUGACUGCUCUUCCAGAGGUCCUGAGUUCAAUUCCCAGCAACCACAUGGUGGCUCACAACCAUCUGUAAUGAGAUCUGAUGCCCUCUUCUGGUGUGCAUGAAGACAGGGACCGUGUACUCAUACAAAUAAAAUAAAUUAAUUAAUUUAAAAAAAUACAAAGUCUUUAAGACACGUGCCAGAGAAGGUGAACAGAAUAGAGACAGUUCAGGGCAGGGAACGUACCUCAGUGGCGGCAAACUCACCGACACCUGUGAGGCCUGGGUUCUCUCUCCAGUCCUGGGAAGACAGUGUCAAAGAAAAGAUUAGUGAACUUGAAGACACACCAGUGGAAAGUAUCAAAAGAAAAACAGGAGAAAGGGCUGUGGGAAAAGGGCAGGAAGCAGAAGGCUGUGGGACGGCUUUAGUGGCUGAGGGGAUGCAGCUGUAGUCCCAGAAAGACGACAAAGCAAAACAAACAAACAAGCAACCUCCCCAACCUGAAGUGAGUAUUUAAAAGUGUCUGCAUUCUACAACGAACUCAUUUAUAAAUUCAUAGUAAUCCUGAUUAAGUUCACACACACACAAAUUCCCAUAGUGGGAAUGGUCAGGUUUAAUAUGUAUAGAAAUGUAAAAGGCCUACUCUAUACAUAAAUAACAAAAAAAAAAAUACUUCGCAAAAGCACAAUGUUGGAAGAUUCACGCCACCUAAUUUCAAGACAUAAUUGUACACCAAUCAGGCAGUGUGGUGUUUACAUAAGGUAGAUAUACCCAAAAGUGAAGCAUAAAAACCCACAUGCAGACCUACAUAUGAACCUCUGACAGACUUUUGAUAAAGAAGAAGGCUCUCCCCAGGUCACGUGAGAGCAAUCAAACAGCUACAGGUAAAUAGCAGUGAGAAACAUCAUGCUUACCUCACACCAUGCAAGAAGAUUUGAAACAGAUGGCAGCCCCAACAAAAGAACUAACACCGUGAGAUCCAUGGAAGGCAGUAUCAGUUAAAGUCUGACUGACUCUGGGGUUGGGGAGGAUUCCUGAAACACAGCACACAGACCGUGAACCAUUUUUAUGAAGAACUUAGACAUCGCCAACAGUUAACAUGUUUGCUCACCGAAAGAUUUCUUCAUGGAAGCAAAGGAGGCAAUCCGCCAAUUCAGGAGAAAAAAAUGUAAGACAUCAGACUUCUACUUAGAAAUCCUUCCUUCCUUAGAACCCUUGGGAUUCGGUAAUGAGAAGAGAACCUAGCUUCAAAUGACAACAGGUUGGAACCAACAUGUCACUAAAGAAACACCAGACGCACAGCAAGAUACGAACCGUGCUAGUCAUCAGGGAGACAGAAGCUGAAAUUGCAACCGGCUGUCACUCCACCAGAAUGACCAAAAGUCAAGUGUCCACACGGAGCUUUAAUGACCGUGUAAGUGAGGACUGACCCUCCCAUGACACUCAGGUUGGGGGACGGUAAGGUGCAGACGCUUUGAGCCGUGGCCGAGCCAUUUCCCUGGAAGUUCCAUUUUUCCACUUAGACCAGCUACCUAUUUCAUCCGAAGAGAGAUGAAAACUCAUUUCCACACAGAGACUCUUCCGAGGAUGUUCAUUACAGUUUUACCUGGAAUAAUCCCAAACUGGAACUGAGCCGAGCGCCCAUCAACAGUCAAAUGGGCGAGCGUUGCGGAAGAGUCACGUAAUAGAAUAUGACUCAAAAGGAACAACGCUGGGUGCGUGCAGCAGCUCGGCGAACGCCGAUAUAAUUACGCUGCCGAGAGAGAAGCCAGAUCAAAAAGGUAUGUCCUCAGUCCUUCCAGUUAUUAAAGAUUCUAGAAAACUCAAAUGCAUCUUUAGAGACGGGAACCAGAUGAUCAUCUGCCUGGGGGAUAGUGAGCUGGGAGGAAAUUUAUUGACGAGAGCCUGAGAGAACUUUGAGAAAUAAAGAGUGUAAUUGUCUUUUU